GGUUGAGUCAACUGAUUUUUUUGCCUCUCAACUCCAAAUCUACCCUUUUUCACCACACUUACAACAAAGGAGCUGCACCCUAUCAACAUUUCUCCUCUGCCAGCAGCUGUCUUCAACACUGGAAAAUCAGUUCAUGAGAGCCACAACCUAUCUACUCGCUCACUAUGGUACAUCAGCACCUAUGAUGAUGGCUGGAACGCAGUACACUCAGAAGAACAAUCAAGAACUUGAAAGUAACAUUUCCUGGAGAUGAGAUGAAGGUUAAGAUCAAUCUACAAGGAGAUACAGUAGAUCGUAGAAGCACUAAUCUGGGAGUAAAUCAAGCUGGCUACACCUUACACGCUGCAAUUUAUGCUGCACGCCCGG
This is a long non-coding RNA of Chlorocebus sabaeus (green monkey), 366 nucleotides long. RefSeq lists it as uncharacterized. The record is from RefSeq and is a predicted model, not a curated record. Lineage: Eukaryota; Metazoa; Chordata; Mammalia; Primates; Cercopithecidae.